Molecule: long non-coding RNA, 14551 nt
Filed under: Octopus vulgaris (common octopus)
Lineage: Eukaryota; Metazoa; Mollusca; Cephalopoda; Octopoda; Octopodidae
Source: RNAcentral
GUCGAACAAAUGGAUCCCAGGACUUAUUUUUUGUAAGACUAUUACUUAUUCUAUCCAUCUCUUUAUCUGCACGGCUAAAUUACGGGUACCUAAACACACCAACAUCGGUUGUCCAACGAUGGUAGGGAGUCAAACACAGACACACAUACAUACAUACAUAUAUACAUAUACAUAUAUGUAGACAGAGAGACAGAUAGAUAGACAGAUAGACAGACAGAUAGACAAAUAGAUAGAUAGAUAGAUAGAUAGAUAGAUAGAUAGAUAGAUAGAUAGAUAGAUAGAUAGAUAGAUAGAUAGAUAGAUAGAUAGAUAGAUAGAUAGAUAGAUAGAUAGAUACGAUUUAUACGACAAUAUUCUUUCAAUGCCAGUCUACCAAAUCCAUUCACAAGCGUUUGGUCGGCCCGAAGCUAUACUAGAAGACAUUUGCUCGAGGUGUUUGUUCUUUGUCUAUAACUUCGUUUCCAAAUUUCAAUACAUUUUACCUUCUUAUUUUUUUAAUUCUUUUAAAAUAUAUAAUCCUUUCUACUAGAGGCACAGGGCCUGACAUUUCUGUGGUGAGCGGGCCAGUCGAUUACAUCGACUCCAGUAAUUCACUGGUACUUAAUUUAUCGACCUCGAAAGGAUAAAAGGCAAAUUAGACUCAGCCGAAUUUGAACGUAAAGAAAAGACGAAAUGCCAUUAAGCAUACUGCUAACGAUUCUACCAGCUCGUCACCCUGUUUUUUUUUUUCUUUUUUUCAGUAUAUAUUGACGUUGUACCGAGUAAGAAAAGAAUAUUAAAAAAAACGCACGCAUUUAUCGCCUUCGAAGUUCCUUAAAUAUUGCUAACAUUUCUGCUAUAGAGGAUGGUUUUGAUAAACAUUUCUAAAUCAACGUCAAUAUUGGUAUUCCAGGGACCAGACAUGCUGUGCAAACAAAGUUAGUCAUGGCGUGCGUUUGUUGCGGUCUAGCAUAGAUGGGGGUGAACAAAAUACAUAUGACGGCAAGUGUAUCGGUUCGAUCAGCACUAACACUCAUCGAUUAUCUCACUGCGAACCAUUAUAUUUGGAUCUAAUCUUUAUCUUCCGAUUUCGUAACAGCAUGGAAACGUUCCGCUGUGUAACACAAUCCAUUUAAUAUUCAACAAACUACUCGUGUCCCAGUUCAUAUCUUCCAUCUUCGAUAACGAUUCUCUCUAAUCGAUAUAUCCGAUUCGAGCACCAGAGCAUACGUUACAUAAAUAUAUAGUUUAAUACAAAUCAGAGAAGCGGGAUUGUUAAUAUAGAUGUUGUUCUUGUUUUUGCUGCUGCUGCUGCUGCUGCUGCUGCUGUGGUUGUUUCCAUUGUCCUCGGUGUUGCUGUUCCAGUUUAGUCAUAUCUCAACUACGUUUGAUUCAGCAAAUCUGUUUUCCAAUAAAAGAGACUCGUGGAGGUUUCCAUUAGACGGGCAGCCCUAGACUACUAUUUCGGGGUCGGCUUUUUAUGUUUGUAUAAGCCAGGGAAUGGGAGCCGCCAAAUCAAGGACUACCCAAACGACACACAUUCUAUUUACGCCCCUGCUACAAACAGAUGCAUGCCAAAUGCGACCAUCCCAUUCAUUGUAUAUCAGUUUCUAUAUUAUUCAGUACGUAUUUCCUGAACCAAUCACGUACUGAGGUCCAUGUAAGCGACUUUUCCUCUCCUCAGUGGCCCGUUCAGGAGAAUAUUGUGAUUUCAGCCCCUUAUAUCCGAGAGAAGCAGACUGACAGGCCUUAUACAUAGAAAGUAUGUCUAAGACAGCGAUCUGUCAGAAUAGUUGGCAAAAUGUUUCUGGCAUUUUGUUGGACUUUACGUUGAGAUUCAAAUUAUGCCGCGGUCGAUUAUGCUUUUCCUCCGUUCGGGGUCGAUAAAUUAGGUAGCAGUUGACGACUGUGCCAAGAUCUGAAAUCGUUAUUAUAAGCACGGCUGAAGGCGGUGAGCUGGCAGUAUCGUUAGCACGCCGAGUUGCUUUGCGGUAUUUCGUCUGUCGCUACGUUCUGAGUUCAAAUUCCGCCGAGGUCGACUUUGCCUUUCAUCCUUUUGGGGGUCGAUUAAAUAAGUACCAGUUAUGAACUGGGGUCGAUAUAAUCGACUUAAUCCGUUUUUCUGUCCUUGUUUGUCUCCCCUGUGUUUAGCCCCUUGUGGGUAGUAAAGAAAUAGGUAUUUCAUCCGUUUUUGCCUUCUCAGUUCGAAUUCCAGCGAGGUUGACUUUACCUCUUACUAUUCCGAGGUCAAUAAAAUAAGCAUUAGUUGAGCAUUGGCGUCAAUGUAAUCGCCGUAUCCCCACCCUGAAAUUGCUAACCUCGUGCCAAAAUUUGAAAUCAUUAUUAUAAGCAUGUCUAAAGCAACGAGCUGGCACAAUUGUUCGCGUGCCGGGCAAAACCCGAGGUCAAUAAAAUAAAUAGCAGCUGUGCACAGGGUCGAUGUAAUCGACUUACCCCUUUCAUCGAAAUUGCAGGCCUUGUACCGGUAUCCCAAAGAAUUGUUUUAAGCAUGUCUCUUAUAGAUUGUUCACUUUUUUUGACAAUGGAAAAAUGUCUUGAUGGAAAUUUCUCCUGCUAAUUUAAUAAAAUAAACCGUAUUAUUAUUUUCUCUUAACAUUUAUUAAAUUCAAUUACAUUUCAUUUAAUAUUAUUAUAUUUCCAUUACUGUUUGUAGCCACACAAUUGCAAAAUGGUUACAUCUCUUAGUCACGAACAAAUUAACUAAUUACGGGUACAUUAAUUUCAUUACAUUUAUUUAAUUUUGAAAAAGGAAUAAAAAUAUUGAUGGAGAUAGGUAAAUAUAUUUGGUGGAAAUAUUUGAUAAAAAUUAAUAUGGUUUCAUAAUUUAUUUUUUGAUCAGACAGAAGGGAAACAAAUUCAAAUUGACAUUCAGGUUGAUUUUUUUUUCUAGAUUUUAUAGAACAAUACCAAUAUAUAGUAAAGAUUGUUUGCCAACAUAAUUUGGCAGUUCUGGUACCCAGCUUGGUGAUUUUGUUAAUGACAAACGUAGGGCAAACGCGAUUACGUGUUCGAUGUAGAAUAUCAGAACAUUUUCUAUCGAAACAGUUCCAUCUCGGUAGCUUUACAAAUUUUCUGUAAGCACGGCCUGGGUUUUGCAGCUGGAGAGCUUUAGCCAAUACAAGAUAAACCCUACAAACAGAGAAGAGAUGUCAGUCGAAGAUGCGUGGAGAUCGCUUGAACCAUUUUGCAAGGACUGUUUUGUAGAGAUAUUUUGAACUGCUGCGCAGCAUAUAGAAAAGAUCUCGCUUUGGGUCGAAAAUAUUUUUGAUGGUUUCCCCGCCGCUUUAGCCGCAAAGGACAAACAAUUUAUCUGUACCUGCUUUUAAGGACGUAUUAUGAUUCUAUUAUUGAUAAAACACUUCAUCCAGGAGAUCAUCAGUUACUUCGAGUUCUACUUGGAAUAAAAGAUGGUAGUGGACACGAAGGCACUGCUUUCUAACGAAUUGCCAUGAAAGCAGAUGUGAGGGGCAAUAACAGCUCCAAUAUACGAGGACUUCUACUCAACAUCCUCCCAUGGCCAAUGAACAAUGCUGGGAGAGGGAACUCACGGAAAUAUUGGAUGUAUGGCAUUCUUUGAUGGAACUUAAAUAAAUUAUCCUUAAUUUAGAAAGUUUCCUUUCGAACUUGAAACCUUUCUGUUGUUAUUUUUGUAAACCGAUUCUCUGUAAAAUUUCACAUUUUUAAAAUUGUUUCUUUAUUAAUAUUUUUCGCAUUGUGUACUUGUAAUGUACUCUCAACCUUCAAACCUGUACUAAAAUGAAUCAUCAUCGUCGUCGUCGCCACCGCCGCCGUUAUCAUCAUCAUCAUCAUCAUCAUCAUCAUCAUCACCACCACCACCACCAUCACCAACAACAACAUCAACACCACCACCACCACCAUCAUCAUCAUCAUCACCAUCAUCAUCAUUGAUGUCGUCGUCAUCGUCGUUGUUGCUGCUGCUGCUGCUACUAAUACUACUAUUACUACAACUACUACUAUCACUACCACUACCACCACCACCACCGCUACCACUCUUGUGGCUAAUAUAACUAAUUAUCACCAUCAUCAUCAUCACCAUCAACAUCGCCGUCAUCAUCGUCUCGUCUCGCCGUCGUCUUUAUUAUCAUCAUUAUCAUUCUCCUCCUCAUCCUCCUCCUCAUUAUUGUUGCUGUUCUUGUUGUUGCUAUCGCUGCUAUUGUUGUUGUUGUUGUUGCUGUUAUGCUAUGUUGUGUUUUCAAAAGAGAAAAAAAAUACAAAAAAUACAAAAGAAAGCAAAAACGAAACCCUCAUAUAAUGAGGUAUAUGUUAAAUUGAUAUUAAAUUGUAUUCCAUACAUGUUGUUACACGAUAUUCAUUUGCUAACAUUGGCACCAGACCAACAAAUUCAUGCUUCAAGAGAACACUUGAUUACAUCGACACGUUGUUGUUGUUGUUGUUACUGUUAUUUUCGUCGAUUUUUUUUUUAAGGUAAUGGCGGUUACGGCAAUGGCGAUGAUAAUGUCGGUUUUGGUGUUGGUGGCUGCCGGGAUGGUUCCAUUGUUAUUUCUGUUAUUGCUGCAUUUCCUGUUGUUUCGUUUUAGUUUUUCUCUUUUGUUUUAAUUUUUCCCUCCCAUUGCUGCAUUUCCUGUUACUCGGUUCUCCUGGUGAUGCCGAUGAUGUUACCGUUUAGUUUUUUUUCUGUUACUUAACGGUCAGGUCAGCUCUAAUGGAGUAGACCAGUAGUCAAGCAUGUUCCAGCUGUGUACAUCUUGCCUUUCUUCCAAACACAAUGUACCUAAAACCAUAUUAUUGUUUAUUUCUCCUUCUUUUGUUUCCAAACGGCUGAAUUUGAGUGCAAAUUUCGGGCUGAUUCUACCACGUAGAAACUUCGUUAUUGGCUCGCAUUGUUGUUAACAUUGUUUAACACAAGAUUGUUCUUAGUCGAGCACAUCUAUGUUGUAUAAUUGAAGUGCCCUUAUUUAAAAAUAAAAAUUAGUUUAUAAUUUCAAGGUUAUUUGACUGCUUUUUUCUAGCAUGCUAAGCGACCUUGUAUAAUUUCUGUCAUUGGAGCGGUAAAUGAGAGAUUUUAUAUUUUAAGUACAUUACUUUAUUUUAACCCUGUCUGAAUUGGGUUCUUCUAUCCAACUUUACCCUCCACUUGGGCUCCUCAGGGAAAAUAAAUAGUUGCAUAUACAGUUCAGCUUCACAAAUAAAUUGAGGAGAAUAAUAAUUAUAGUAAUCCUUUUUAAUAUAGGCACAAUACCUGGAUUUUCUGGGGAGGGGGACAGUCGAUCACAUCGACCCCAGUACGCGAUGGGUACUUAAUUUAUCGACCCUGAAAUGGUAAAAGGCAAAGUCGACCUCUGCGUAUUUUGAACUCAGAACGUAAAGACAGACGAAAUAUCGUUAAACAUUUCGACCGGAGUUCUCGCCGCCUUUCUCACUGCUUUGGUAUUCACACUAAUCAACAUCUAUCGCAGUGUUUCCCAACCCUUUUAUUGAAAUGAAUGGCCCAAAAAUAGGUUUACAGUUAUCACGUAAUCACUUUGAUAUUCUUUUAAAACAUUUUAUUACAUUUAAAUUUCUAUCUUACAAUUAACUAAAUUAGCAAAGAAUAAUGCUUUCGUAAAUUUUUAUCGUUAAGAUCUAAACUGUUAAUAUAUGAAUGCAAAAGAGAUUGUUGCAUAAUUAAAUAUACUUUUCGGUCACUCUGUAUAUAUUGGGUCAUCUCAUAAUUAAUGAGGUUUUAUCAACUGCAUGAACUAAAAGUCGUACUUAUUCUUAGUGCAAGUUUUGAAGAGUGCAAUUCGAUUUUAAGUUAUAUUUCAAAGCUAUAAUGGAAAUGACAAAGGAGCAUAUUCAACAUAUUUUGCUUUAUUAGUUUAAUAAAAGCAACAACGCUACGGAAAGUGCGAGGAAUAUUAAUACAGUAUACGGGGAUUGGACAAUAAACGUAAGGCAGUGUCAGUGGUGGUUCCAGAAAUUACGAUCCGGAAACUACAGUCUAGAAGACGAGCCUCGUCCUGGAAGUUCUGUAGAUCUCAACGAGGACGUCUUGAAAACCGUGGUGGAACAAAAUCCCAUCGUAACUGUGGAGGAACUAUCAGAGAAGCUUGGAUCUGGUCAUUCAACUAGUCAUUCCAAGUCAGUGCUAGAAGAAAAACGACCAUCUUUGGUUUCAAGACGAAAGGCGUUCUUCCUUUAGGAUAACGCUCGGCCACAUACAGCGAGGAUGAGAUUCCAAAGGCUGGAUAGGCAAAGUUUCCCCACCCACCAUAUUCGCGGGGCAUUGAUCCACCUGAUUAUAUAUUCCGCAGUCUUCAAAAUCAUUUGGACGGAAAAAAUAUGAAUUCUGUUGACGAAAUCAGAACAGUACCGGAGGAGUGUUUUUCGUCACGGACGAGUGAAUUUUGGCAGAAGGGCCUUGCAAGUCUAGCAGAUAGAUGGAAGAGCAUUGUGGAAAAUGAAGGAGAGUAUACUUUAGAUGAAAAAAAGAGCUUUGUUUAUCUUAACUUUGAAACAUAAAAUAUGUAUAGAAAAACCGCAUUAUUUAUAGGUUGACCCAAUAUAUAUAAGUAUGUAUAUAUUUUAUAUAUGUAUAUAUUUUAUAUAUGUAUAUAUUUUAUAUGAGAUUUAGUUCACGGACCAGCAAGGGUCUGCGGACUCCAGGCUGGUCUAUAGGAUCAACAAUUGCAACAUAUCAAUAAGUUGGAGAGCUGGCAGAAUCGUUAGCACGCCGGACAAAAUGCUUAGCGGCAUUUCGUCCGUCUUCACGUUCUGAGUUCAAAUUCCGCCGGGACCCACUUCGCCUUUCCUCCUUUCGGGGUCGAUUAAAUAAAACCAGUUGAACACUGCGUGUCGAUGUAAUCAACAUGGCCUCCUCCCACAUUCUUCGAAAUUGCUGGCUUUGUGCCAAAAUGUGAAAUCAAUUAGAACAUAACAGCAAGAACAACAACAACAGUAACACCAAUAACAACUACCAACACCGACAACAAUAACAACAAAACAAACUCCACCAAUAACAACAACAACGACGACGAUAACAACAUCAACGUAAUCAAGAAAGCCAACAGGAACUGCAACAAUACAACUGUAAUGAACAACAAGAACAACAACAACAACAACAACAACAACUACAAUAAUAAAAGCAACAAUCACUGUGAGGCAUUGAUUAAGUAUCGAAUCGUUUGUUUGUUUUUCUUUCAUGUAUUUCAAUCUAAAUUCGAAGAUGCAGACCUAAUUUGGAAAUCAGAGUCAAAUCAUUUAUUUAUUAAUAGCAAUAACGAUGCUGCGUAACGUUGGCACAAUUCCAAAGGCUGUAUGUUAGGAGGAGAUGAUUAUUUGAGAGGCCAUAACUGACUCCAGUAAAUGUUACAUGUAUCGUGAAAUCCACGAGGGAUUUAUAAAUCAACUGCUUUGGUCUAUGAGGGUCUCCACCGGUCAUACUUGCCGCCGCCGGGUUUUUGCAUUGAAGUAAUUAAUCGUUAUAGAAAUAUAAAUGUAAGCAUGAGCCAACGAGGAACCGGAGAGAUAAUGUGAAUGGCCUUAAACGGACGCUGGAGGAGUUAGAAAUAGCAGCUAAAUUGCGAUCAUAUUACUUUUAAAGCAAUUUUUAAAAAAAGUUUAAGAAAAGAGAUUGUAUUUUCAGAGGCGUGGCUGUAUGAUAAAGAGUUUCCUUCCGACACCACAGGGUUCCGGGUUCAGUCCCACUGCAUGGAAACUUGUACAAGUCUCAUGUACUCUGGCCCAAGGUCGACCAAGGCCAUGAGAGUGGAUUUGGAAGGCGGAAACUGAAAGAAGCCCAUCGUAUAUAUAUAUAUAUAUAUAUAUAUAUAUAUAUAUAUAUGAGUGUCUGUCUUACAAAACCGGUGUUUGUGUGUUUACAUUCCCUUAAAUCAGUAGUUCGGCUAAAGACAGCAAUAUAAUUAUUACAAGGCUUAUCGGUAAGUCGAUUACAUUGACCCGAGUUACUGACUGGUACUGAUUUUAUCCAACGUGAAUGGACAUAAGGCAAAGUCGACGUUGGUGGAAUUUGAACAUGGUAAGUUAAGUCGAAAGAAAUGUUGCUGAAGGUCAUGCGCACGCGUAGUUGUGAUGCAUGUGCCUAAUGUACCCUUAUCAGACGGGUAGUCAUGAUGGGUAUACUGGGUUUCGUAUAUUUUACCCCAGUGUCACUUUGAUGGCGUGUACUACUCUCUCACUCAAUAAUAAUAAUAAUAAUAAUAAUAAUAAUAAUAAUAAUAAUAAUAAUAAUAAUAAUAAUGAUGAUGAUGGUGAUGAUGAUGAUGAUGAUGAUGAUGAUGAUGAUGAUGAUGAUGAUGAUGAUGAUGAUGAUGAUGAUGAUAAUAAUGAUGAUAAUAAUAAUAAUAAUAAUAAUAAUAAUAAUAAUAAUAAUAAUAAUAAUAAUAAAAAUAAUAAUAAUAAUAAUAAAAAGACUAAAACAAUACCUGUUGUCAUAGGUGCCCUGGGAAUGAUAGCAAAAGGGGCUGAUUGCUACCUAACUCAGAUACCAGAAAAUGUCAGAAAUUCAAAAGAUAGUGCUCAUGGGAACUGCUCAUAUCCUACGCAAAAUACUUUCUAUGUAAUCUCAAGUUUUAAAACAAACAUAAUUUUCGUAUGUUUUUUUUUAGACAUUCACUAGUACAACACCAAAAAAAACAACAAAUAUAUGGCACACUAGGUAUAACAACAACAAGAACUUCCAACCUGUUGUCUCUUGAGGUCUCUGGGUAAGACUUGAAGCCAACUUGUACAAAUAUAAAGCAAAAGUCAAACAUAGAAUAAUAAUAAUAAUAAUAAUAGUCAAAAUCAUAUCGAAUAACAACUAAAUAUCGACCUGGUGUAUACCUUCCUGCAGUGUGUUAUUGAACGAAUGUCUUUUGGUUUAGAAAAUGAUAGCACAAAGUCUAUACGUGGCUAUUUACUCUGCGGAAUAUUUGCAUGUUACAGCUUUACAACACAAAUCCAGACAAUUAUCCUCAAGAAAUAAAAACCGAUAAUAUUGUUUUCACAAUUGAUUUUGUAAUAGCGGGUGACGUAAACACUGUGUUGAAUCGUGCUGAGAGAGUGAUGAUUUUCUACAAGGAUUGGUGAUUUUCAUUAAAAUCAAUGUCUUGCGGAGAAAGAAAGAAUAUAACCAAAAGAAGAAAAGACACUUGCGUACACGAUUCCAUUUGCAAAUUGCUACACCUGGAAUUAUAUUCUUACAAUUAUCUAAAGCUAUUGAAAGAAAACAUAAACACGAUGAAGGAAAUGGCAAAAGAAACAAAAAUACCUGAGACUGUUCUGGAAAUUUGUCUGUAAUUUUCUCUUCGUUUUGUUUUCUUUUUAUUCUUUUGCAAUUUGUUAUUUCCGUUGUCUUCUUGUUAUUGUUGCUGUUGUAGUUGCUGUUGCUUUUCAUACUGAUUAACCCUCUACUAAUCAUUUCACCAUCAUAGAUCGCUAGCCACUAUAACUUUUUCUAUUUUCUCUCCCCGUUUAUGUUUGUGUUCCUCUCUGUCGAAGAGCUCGAAACAUAAAAAAAACUUUCUCACUACCUGAGGGUUAAAUACAUCUGUUUGUUGUUUACACACCCGUCUUCGUCUUUUUUUUUUUUUUUUUUUGUAAAUUCUCACUACUAAUCACGACCGAGUUUGUCUAUGAUCGAAUAUAUUCCAUCUUUGACCAUCCCAUAUUUCCAGACAUCGACUGUAAUGGAACGGUCGGCGUUAUAAUCAAGAACACUCCGGACAUAAGAUUCCAGUUCCUACCUUGUGUUGCCAGUCGUAGUGUUGUUGACCAUAAUGACGGGUGGCUGGGUGAGUUGCAGAAUAAAAAUGUAUUUCUGGGCUGCGUGAAGAAGGAAGUGACGCGCAGGCGCGGCUAUGCGGCAAGAAGCUUGCUUCCUAACCACAUGGUUCUCGGUUCAGUCCCACGCCGUGACAUCUUGAGCAAGUGUCUUCCAGUAUAGCCUCCGGCCGACCAUAAGUAUAGAUUUGUGCGUUUGUUAUCUUUUGGAAUCAAAAGAAUUGGGACAUCCAAGCAAACGCCCGGCUUAUUCUGUGUCGAUUCUUAUCACUUUGGUAUUUACCGCCUGUUUGUACUAUGUCAGUUAUAUGAAAUGAAACCAAGCUUUAUCGUUAUAACCAAUAUUCUAUUCCCUGACACACGAGCUGCAUCGUAUCACGCAUUGCAGCACGAACAUAAUACACUAUCUAGGCCUACUUUCCAGUAUUUUUAUCGUUUCGAAAAACCCAUCAUAAGGUGCCAUAACUCUGCCAUCACGGAUGGAGGAGAUACGAAGAUGUAACACCAGUUCCUGACCAAUGUUAUUAUAUUAAUUAUUACGGGUAAAGCAUAAAGAAAAUAUUUAAGUUUUAGAAAUGCGUGUAUAUGUCAAUAUCCUCCUUGUUCGUUCUUAAAUUAAUAAUUCAGGCAAAGAUAAGUCCACCUUGGUCAAAUAUUCUGCUAUGAACACCUAGUGGUCAUUUAUUUUGAUCCUUUCUGCUAUCCUCUCUUGUAUUGCUCAAAACAACUUUCGCCAAUAAAACUUUGCCUAUUUCUUCGUUCGCCAAAAUUUGUAUUUUGUUGGUGCGUUAAUCACACCGAUGCAAAUAUUUCAAAUGUCUAUUUAAGCUGUUUAAAUGUCAAAGUAUUCUUCUACAAUGCAUGAGUCUUGCUGAGUAAUUGCACGAAUUGUGUUUAUUCUCUGUUUAGUUAGAGUUAUUUCAAAUUUAUCUUUGGGCGUUUCUCUAAAGAGAACCAUCUUGAUUAGGAUGUAAAAAGAAAAAAAAACAAUAUUUUUAAUUAUGUUUAAAAAUAACAGACUUUAUAUCUUUCUGGGUGUGAGUCAUUCUCGAUGUAACGAAUUCCAGAAGAUUCCUAGCUAAAAAUGAUUCAAAACCAGAAGAAUCUCCUGCCGUUUUACUUAUUAAAGUAUCUCAAAUACUAUAAUAUUAAUAAUGAUGAUGAUAAUACUAAUACUACUACUAAUAAUAAUAAUAUUCUUUUCUACUGGAAGCACAAGGCCUCAUAUUUGUGGGAAGGGUUUAAGUCGAUUACAUCGACCCCAGUAUGUAACUGGUGCUUGUUUAAUCUAAGGGUGAACGGUAAAGUCGAGACCUCGGCGGAAUUUGAACUUAGAGCGUAGCGACCGGCGAAAUACUGCUAAGCAUUUCGUCCAGCGUGCUAACGAUUGUGCAAGCUCGCUGUCUUAAAAAAAAAAAAUAAUAAUAAUAAUAGUAAUAAUAAUGAGGAUAAGAAGAAGAAGAAGAAGAAGAAGAAGAAGAAGAAGAAGAAGAAGAAGAAGAAGACAGGUAGUUACGAUGGUUAUACUGGGCUUAGUAUACUUUUACCCAGCUUCAUUUAUGGUGGUGCUCUAUCAAAUCAAUAAUAAAGAUAAUAGUAAAUAAUUAGUUAUAGAUGCAUUGGGAACUUUCCUUAAAGACCUGAAGAAGUGGAUAGAGGAAACAUGCAUAAAACCCAGUUUAGUACAGCUUCAGAAAACAGUGUUAUUAGGGAGAGCUAGGAUACUUUGGAGGGUUCUUAGCAUGAAAGUUUAGUUAGCGACUGGCAUGGAGAUAACUAGAUCUAGUAUCCACUGAAAAUGGGCAUGAACUGUCAGUGGUCGGAGCCCCUAGUUUCAGUGAUUGCCUCCACAUCGAUAUUUAGUCACCUGGGGUCGUUGAGUAGAUGACCCUGUUUCCAAAGCGACUCCAGGCCAGCGUGCGUUUAUAUUGCCAUUUGUGAGCGAGACCAUGUAGGAUGGAGAUAUAGAUGCGCUAAAGGCUACUUGCUGUGAUUUUGUUGGGCAGGUGGGGACGGUUAUUCUGUCACCAUGGCGCAGGAGUGGCUGUGUGGUAAGUAGCUUGCUAACCAACCACAUGGUUCCGGGUUCAGUCCCACUGCGUGGCAUCUUGGGCAAGUGUCUUCUACUAUAGCCUCAGGCCGACCAAUGCCUUGUGAGUGGAUUUGUUAGACGGAAACUGAAAGAAGCCCGUCGUAUAUAUGUAUAUAUAUAUAUGUAUAUAUAUAUAUAUAUAUAUAUAUAUAUAUAUAUAUAUGUGUGUGUGUGUGUGUGUGUGUGUGUGUGUAUGUGUUUGUGUGUCUGUGUUUGUCCCCCUAGCAUUGCUUGACAACCGAUGCUGUUGUGUUUACGUCCCCGUCACUUAGCAGUUCGGCAAAAGAGACCGAUAGAAUAAGUACUGGGCUUACAAAGAAUAAGUCCCGGGGUAGAUUUACUCGACUAAAGGCGGUGCUCCACCAUGGCCGCAGUCAAAUGACUGAAACAAGUAAAAGAGUAAAAGAGUAUGGUUAUUUUUGCCUGUUUUCCCAAGCAGUUCGUUGUAGAGUCUUUUGUUGAUAUCUUUCGUGAAGGCCCCCAAACCCCUUCGGGAUAUUUUGUUAUAUGUGAUUUGUGAUGUUACAGGAUAUUUAUGUGUGGUGUUUGAUGGUGUGAUGAAAUUGAUGUUUGUGACGUCUGUAUGGUUGUAUAUGUGUGCCAUUAAUUCUUUAUUGUUUGUGUUUAUUGCUGUGUAGUUGAUGGUGUCAGGUUGUGCGGGCUGGACGUUGUGCGUGUCAACUGAGUUGUGCUUGUGGUGAUGUCGACGGCGCUGACAGUGAUGUUGCUGUUGUUGAUGGUGGUGGUGCGGUUGCUAACGGAGAAGGUGUUUGUGUGUUUAUUUUGUUAUGUGUCUGCUCAAUGUCAUCAUACAUGCCAGAUUUUUGUGUUUAAGUUGGUGAAAUUUUGUUCCUUUUUCGGGCUACUUGUAGUCAUUGAGGUCCUUCUUUCUCCUCCUCCACACUGGACAUGUCUGAGUAUUCCGGAGAGGGUAUAGGCUAAUCUUGUGGGGCUUUUCUUUACGCUUUGUUGGUAAGAUUGUCGUUGUUGUUUUGAGGGGUACUCAUGCUGUUGUUUUUGUUACUGUUUGGUGUGUGGAAUGCAUAGCUGUUGGUGAGUUGCUUGUUUGUUUGUUUUUUUGCUGUUGUCUUCUUCUUCUUCCCAUCAGGACUCACGUUAUUAGCCACAAAGAAUAAUCUCUAAUUCGAGCCUACUCUAAGCUACUUAGAAUGCGUGUGGCAACUUGAACUAGACUGGCAGUUGCACGGGUGCGAAAGCUACGUUGUUAUCCUCAUUCUGUAAAUGGUGGCUUUUAACGGGUGGAGAGCUGAACCAUCCCGGGGUACAGAGGAUUCGCAAUCUAGACUAGGGUCUGAAAGUUUACCACACCCUAGUGGGUUACACUAUGGUUCCUCUGCUUUGUGGCAGAAGUAGGAAGAAAGAUUGUGAGAAAGUUGUGGCGAAAUCUGCAAGUGUUUCACACGAAAGAAUUCUUAUUUCAUUUUUUACUUUCUCUUCACUUUCCUACUUAUUUUUGUUUCUCUAGUUGGUCCUCGGCAAAGAAACAUCUAAGUGAAUUCCAGAUACAACAAAUCCCAAAAUUAGCCGUAGUGGAAACAAACACAGAGAAAGCUAAGCAUAUGAAAACAUGUGCUAAAACUUCAACUUUUAAUUUGUUGUCUCUUGUGGUUUUCUGGGUGAGACUUGAAGUCAAUUUGUACAAAUAGAAAGCAAAAGUCAAACAUAUAAUAAUAAUAAUAAUAAUAAUAAUAAUAAUAAUAAUAAUAAUAAUAAUAAUAAUAAUAAUAAUAAUAAUAAUAAUAAUAAUAAUAAUGAUAAUAAUAAUAAUAAUAAUAAAACAAAUCUUUUAUUUGCCACAAGGGUACAUUAUGGUACAUAGAAUACAAAUGGUUACAAAAUGUAAACAAUAAAAAUAUAUCUUCAUUAUUGAAAAGAGCAAAGCCAUGCAAUGCAAACUAUCAAACGAAAAGAUGUUUGCAAAACCUGUUUUGAUUCAUUUCUGCCAAAUGGGUUCGGGCUGAAACGAAAUAGAACCUGUUGGGUCUGGUUAAAAUUUUAGUUCACAAACCGAUUCCAAUGAAAGCAAUCCACCCGCAUUGUAGUGCAAGCCAUCAUUUCGGCAGGAUUUAGACACCACGCAAUUCUGUUUGCUUUCUGCAAAUAAACUCUUCCGGAUUUGUCUUUGAAUGUCUAUGAGCAUCUAUGGGACAUGAAGCUUCUCACACACCUGCGAUGACUGUGAUGACUGGUUUUGCUACCUUUAUAUACGAACCAGGUCAUAUUUUUUUCACGGAAUCAGUCGUUUUUGUCUUCUAUUAAUUUUCCCAAACUCCUACAUCUGCUUUGCAUUCAAUUACAUUCUAAUUCGGCUCAUUCGGCGUCUUUCUCUGGAUCCCUCUUCCAACAGAUGCGAUCUUGAGUUCUAAACACCUCGAUGUCGGCAAACACUUCCAGAGGAACUACUGUCUUUUUAUUGUCUUUUUUUUUUAAUAUCGUCAUUUUUAUCUCCUUUUACUUCCUCUUUCUGGCUAAUUACCAUAAUCCUUUUCUAGUUUCUUUCAGACAAAAAUCAUGCCUCCUCAUUGAAAUGACUAUCGCAAUCGACAUAAAUGUAUUUUUCAAGACCUCCCAAAAAAUGAGCAAAUAUAAAGAUCUUGAAAUAGUAAUUGGCAAAAUGUGGAACUUCAAGACUAAAACAAUACCUGUUAUCAUCGGUGCCCUAGGAAUGGUAGCAAAAGGGGCUGAUUGCUACCU